This 301-nucleotide ribosomal RNA is filed under the name uncultured bacterium. Its description in RNAcentral is "partial 16S ribosomal RNA". It matches the Rfam family "Bacterial small subunit ribosomal RNA", at positions 509 to 807 of the family's 1533-position model. The record is from RNAcentral.
CAGUCGCCGCGGGAAUACGGAGGGAGCUAGCGUUGUUCGGAAUUACUGGGCGUAAAGCGCACGUAGGCGGCUAUUCAAGUCAGAGGUGAAAGCCCGGGGCUCAACCCCGGAACUGCCUUUGAAACUAGAUAGCUUGAAUCCAGGAGAGGUGAGUGGAAUUUCGAGUGUAGAGGUGAAAUUCGUAGAUAUUCGGAAGAACACCAGUGGCGAAGGCGGCUCACUGGACUGGUAUUGACGCUGAGGUGCGAAAGCGUGGGGAGCAAACAGGAUUAGAUACCCCCGUAGUCCCUGUCUCUUAUAC